Molecule: ribosomal RNA, 446 nt
Filed under: uncultured bacterium
Lineage: Bacteria
Description: partial 16S ribosomal RNA
Rfam family: Bacterial small subunit ribosomal RNA
Source: RNAcentral
CCUACGGGUGGCAGCAGUCGAGAAUCAUUCACAAUGGGGGAAACCCUGAUGGUGCGACGCCGCGUGGGGGAAUGAAGGUCUUCGGAUUGUAAACCCCUGUCAUGUGGGAGCAAAUUAAAAAGAUAGUACCACAAGAGGAAGAGACGGCUAACUCUGUGCCAGCAGCCGCGGUAAUACAGAGGUCUCAAGCGUUGUUCGGAAUCACUGGGCGUAAGGCGUGCGUAGGCUGUUUCGUAAGUCGUGUGUGAAAGGCGCGGGCUCAACCAGCGGACGGCACAUGAUACUGCGAGACUAGAGUAAUGGAGGGGGAACCGGAAUUCUCGGUGUAGCAGUGAAAUGCGUAGAUAUCGAGAGGAACACUCGUGGCGAAGGCGGGUUCCUGGACAUUAACUGACGCUGAGGCACGAAGGCCAGGGGAGCGAAAGGGAUUAGAUACCCCUGUAGUC